RNAcentral lists this ribosomal RNA (253 nucleotides) under uncultured bacterium. Its description in RNAcentral is "partial 16S ribosomal RNA". It matches the Rfam family "Bacterial small subunit ribosomal RNA", at positions 524 to 776 of the family's 1533-position model. The record is from RNAcentral.
UACGUAGGGGGCAAGCGUUGUCCGGAAUCAUUGGGCGUAAAGAGCGUGUAGGCGGCUCGAUAAGUCUGCUGUGAAAGUCCAGGGCUCAACCCUGGAAGGCCGGUGGAAACUGUCGGGCUAGAGUCCGGAAGAGGCGAGUGGAAUUCCCGGUGUAGUGGUGAAAUGCGUAGAGAUCGCGAGGAACACCAGUGGCGAAGGCGGCCGGCUGGGGGUGCCCUGACGCUGAGGCGCGAAAGCGUGGGGAGCGAACCGG